AUUGAACGCUGGCGGCAUGCCUUACACAUGCAAGUCGAACGGUAACAGGUCAAGCUGACGAGUGGCGAACGGGUGAGUAAUAUAUCGGAACGUGCCCAGUCGUGGGGGAUAACGUAGCGAAAGCUGCGCUAAUACCGCAUACGAUCUCUGGAUGAAAGCGGGGGACUCGCAAGAGCCUCGCGCGAUUGGAGCGGCCGAUAUCAGAUUAGGUAGUUUGUGGGGUAAAAGCCCACCAAGCCGACGAUCUGUAGCUGGUCUGAGAGGACGACCAGCCACACUGGGACUGCGAAACGGCCCAGACUCCUGCGGGAGGCAGCAGUGGGGAAUUUUGGACAAGGGGCGAAAGCCUGAUCCAGCCAUGCCGCGUGCAGGACGAAGGCCUUCGGGUUGUAAACUGCUUUUGUACGGAACGAAACGGCUCUCUCUAAUACGGGGGGCUAAUGACGGUACCGUAAGAAUAAGCACCGGCUAACUACGUGCCAGCCGCCGCAGUAA
This 495-nucleotide ribosomal RNA is filed under the name uncultured bacterium. RNAcentral's name for it is "partial 16S ribosomal RNA". It matches the Rfam family "Bacterial small subunit ribosomal RNA", at positions 30 to 523 of the family's 1533-position model. The record is from RNAcentral.